This 1366-nucleotide long non-coding RNA is filed under the name Numida meleagris (helmeted guineafowl). Its description in RNAcentral is "lncRNA (ENSNMEG00000019070.1)". The record is from RNAcentral. Lineage: Eukaryota; Metazoa; Chordata; Aves; Galliformes; Numididae.
CCCUUCUAGCCCAUAGACCCAAGCUUCUGUUUAGGGAAAAAUAUUGACCAGAGAAACACUGAUCCAGAGACACUGUAGGAGUGAAGUGAGAGGGAGAGCUAUUAGAAGCAGACUCAUACCAUGUAUGAGCUAUGUUGGGACCAAGGUAUAUACUCAAAUAUGGGAGCCCAGACUCUUCAAAAGGCAAACAGACAUCAAAAAAGGUAGGCUUCAGCUAAAUUAGAGAGAAAUCCAUCUGAGUGCUUUCCUGCAAGUAACCCCCAUGCCUAACUUGAUCACCCACUGAGGAAGACAAGCUCAUUUUAUUUCUGUCCUAGGAGUAGGGCUUAGGCUGCUGGGAUGUGGUUCUUUGGACCUACCAAACCCCUGUUGCCAAAAUAAUUUGAAAUUAAGUGCAAAUUAAGCCAAUUAAGUGCUGGUUCAGAUGGAGGUCAGUGCCUCUGGUAAAAGAUACAUGAAAAUAGGAAGAAUUAAAUGAGUCAUAAAAGUAGAGAAGGUGGGAAGAAGCACCCAAGAGAAAACCAUGUGUUUGUGAGGCCAUUUCUGCUGAGUCAUCAGCAGAGACCAACAAAGACCCAACAGGAGUAGGGUGAGGAAGAUAGGGGCUAUUUAGCUAUAUGGCCGUAGCCAUGAUGAAGAUCUGCUGCACCUUUUUUGAUUCCCUCUGUGUACUGAAUAUCUGCACUGUAGCCCAAGGUUAAGAUGGGCUCCUUGCAGCUCUGAUGACCCUUCAUCCAUCUCAGGUUGUUGGGAGGACCCACAAUGCAGCUUCAUCCUAUUUUACAGAACAAGUACAUUGAACAUUGCAGCAGUGCAAGGGCUCUUCUCAGGAGAACGAGACAACUUUCAGUGCCAAAGGAGGAGUAUGGUCAGCAAUGUGAGGAAGCGUCCUGCGGCCUGCUAUGCCCAAUGGAAGCCAAGGUUCCUGACCUAUGAUGUACCUAUUGCAAACUUCUGUGACCCUGACCCCUUCUCCGGACCCAAAGUGAUGUGGCAGGGGAUUGCUCUGGAGCUGCUCACUUGAACUAUGGAUAAGCUCAGACAACUGCAGUUUCUAGGCUGUAUGUCUGCAUGUUGUCAUAUCUGGGAGGGUACUGAAUUGCUCAUUUGCAGACACCUGCCUCCAUGUGUAUUCCAUUGCUGAUAGACCUCCAAAUUAAGAACCCUGUUCACAUGCACCAAACUAACUUUGUCUUCCCCAUAGUCCUCUUUUGAUCCUGCAGCCUGGAAAAGGUGUGGCUACUUUCACACCCCUGGGGCAAAGACAGCCCAAUGGAGGAGGAGGAGGACUUCACACCUUCAUUCCUGCCAGCCACAGCUGGUAGGAGGUACAUCUGGGACAGAAAAGCAGGGAGCUGUGAAGGGA